Arachis ipaensis is the source of this 766-nucleotide non-coding RNA. The record is from RefSeq and is a predicted model, not a curated record. Lineage: Eukaryota; Viridiplantae; Streptophyta; Magnoliopsida; Fabales; Fabaceae.
UUAAAUAAUAAUAAUUACAAAAAUAAAUAAUAGAAGCGAGAGACAAGUCCCCCAAAUAGUAAUAAUAAUAGUAGCACUGACAUUGGAAGUAAAAUAUGGUGAAAUAGAAGCGAGAGGGUGUUGAGCAAUGAAAAAUGACUGCAAAUAAUGAACGGGGAUAUAGAAUUAUAGAAGAGUCAAUCAAUUGCCGUUAAAAUCAUAUCCAAAGCUAAGAAGUUGUUGGAGAAGCAAGGAGAAGAUGAAAUUGUAACCUCUAAAGUGGAAGUUGUCAAAAGACAUGGCUUUUGCUGAAGGUUAUCAAGGUUAACAAGGAGCAUUACUAUUGUAUCACUCUCCCUGGGUUCAUGCAAUAUUAGUCUUAUUCAGGUUAUCAAGGAGAAGUUUAUAAAAGAGUUGGCAGAAGUUCAAGCCCAACAUGCCGAGGCUCAAGCACAGAGAAUGGAGGUACCACCAAUUGAUGAAGACUUGAUCUGGGAGGAAGUGUGUGGUGGACAAAAGAAGAAUCGAGUUUACGGAAAAAGGUCAUUCUUUUCUAGCUCUAUCAAGUCUGGAACCAUUUAUGCCAAUUCUGUAUCUGGAAGAGCACCUAGAAAUCAAAAUUCUGUUCUUGAUUUGCGAGAAGAGAUUCAUAAUCUCAAUGAAGAACUUUUUCAGCGUGUUAUUCAACAAACAGAUGAGCGUAUUAUUAAGUUGUUAGAUACACGCUUGGCUCCUUUGGAAAAGACUCAAAAGAAGUUAGAAAAGUUGGAACGGAAAAUUGAAAAGG